RNAcentral lists this ribosomal RNA (513 nucleotides) under uncultured bacterium. Its description in RNAcentral is "partial 16S ribosomal RNA". It matches the Rfam family "Bacterial small subunit ribosomal RNA", at positions 28 to 507 of the family's 1533-position model. The record is from RNAcentral.
GACGAACGCUGGCGGCGUGCUUAACACAUGCAAGUCGAACGAAAAGAGGGAAAGAGCUUGCUCUUUCCGGAAUUGAGUGGCAAACGGGUGAGUAACACGUAAACAACCUGCCUUCAGGAUGGGGACAACAGACGGAAACGACUGCUAAUACCGAAUAAGUUCCAAGGGCCGCAUGGCCCAUGGAAGAAAAGGUGGCCUCUACCUGUAAGCUAUCGCCUGAAGAGGGGUUUGCGUCUGAUUAGCUGGUUGGAGGGGUAACGGCCCACCAAGGCGACGAUCAGUAGCCGGUCUGGGAGGAUGGACGGCCACACUGGAACUGAGACACGGUCCAGACUCCUACGGGAGGCAGCAGUGGGGAAUCUUCCGCAAUGGGCGAAAGCCUGACGGAGCAACGCCGCGUGAGUGAUGACGGCCUUCGGGUUGUAAAACUCUGUGAUCCGGGACGAAAAGGCAGAGUGCGAAGAACAAACUGCAUUGACGGUACCGGAAAAGCAAGCCACGGCUAACUACGUG